This 5748-nucleotide long non-coding RNA is filed under the name Cricetulus griseus (Chinese hamster). Its description in RNAcentral is "lncRNA (ENSCGRG00015031519.1)". Lineage: Eukaryota; Metazoa; Chordata; Mammalia; Rodentia; Cricetidae. The record is from RNAcentral.
CACUGGACUCCGCUCGCCGGGAGGGCCGAGGCUCGCCGCGGAGCGCGCCGCUGGGUCCCGGGGCCCCCACGUGAGUCUGCGCGCGCUGGCGGCGGAGGGGGGCGCGCCCCUCACCCCGGGACAAAGCGCCGGGGCCGCGCUCGCGGGUGCGGGGACCGGGCUGGCCUGGGGCUGCUUCCGCCCGGAGGAAGGGACCGCACAGGCCCCAGUGGCAGCGGGCCGCAGGAGAGGCCAGCGGGACGCAGGAAGCCGGGGUCUCCCAACGCCAAGCGGAACCGCGCCGUCCGGCCGGCCUCCCUCCCUCCUUCCUUCCUUCCUUCCUUCCUUCGUGUGGCGCUUGGAGCGGUCAAUUACACCCUCCCUGGCCUGGACCUUGCUCCCCAAGGGCCGGCCGGUUGGGGCGGGUGGGACCCUAGGCUGGACCGCAGCUUGGAACUGUCGUGUCACGUGACCUGAUUGCCCUGCACAGGGGAACCCUUGGCACUCAGAACCCCAGGGGGGCUCGUGGGAGCCCGCAGCCCCACCUGACUUCCCUGGGCUGUACAGGACCUGCCUCACCCUACUGGUCCAAGUGGUUGCAGGAACCAAGACUGUUCACUUUCUUUUCUUUUCUAAGAUUUAUUUAUUAUGUACACAUUGUCUGCGACAGAAGAGGGACCAGGUCUCAUUACAGAUGGCUGUGAGCCACCAUGUCGUUGCUGGGAAUUGAACUCAGGACCUCUGGAAGAGCAGCCAUCUCUCCAGCCCGCCUGUUCACUUUCGGGGACACUGACCCUCCCUCCAUGCCGUCUUGGCUCCUCCCCACUUUGCGGUUCAGUGCAGUGUCUUAUUUAUAACCUGUUACCUCGUAAUGGGAGCAAAAGACAGCUCCACGUGGUGCCUGUAGCAGUCUGAGGCAACCUUUCAAACACUUCCGCUCCGAUGGAGCCAGGAUUCGGGGAUGGGGUUUAUUAAGAUGAGGUUUUUUUUUUUUUUUUUUUUUUUUUUUUUUAAAGAGAUUUAAGCACUAACGGUGCUCUGGGAAACAUAGUACACAUCCAGACGUGGGUGUGUCCCGCUUUGAGGGACUAGCAGUAACCAUAUAUGCAAUGUUUGGUGGGUCUUGAGCUUUAAUUGCUCAAAACAUUUGGAAGUGACACCCCCUACGCCUCAGCCCUUCAGUAAAGAAGACUUCAGAGCUAGCAGUUCCCGAGGUGGUUUGGGUAGGAUGACAGUCUGAUGUGGUAAAACCAUAGUUCCAAAGGUUGCACACAGGGUAAGCCAUAUCUGCUACCAUCACGGGGUUUUAAACCUUGCCUGUGAGAUUCCUAGAAAAUUGCAGGUUUAUAUCUGGGGAGAGAAUGAGGCCAAACUCAGAGGUCAUGUACUCUUGGGUCUCAAGCCUGGUUUAUUGCUGGGUUAUUAUUUGAUAUCUCUGUAUAAAGGGGAUAUUGUCUCUGCAAAGACAGCAAGUUUUAUGAACCAGGCUGGAAUUCUUGACUUAGCAAAAGACUUUGCCACAUCCCAUAGUGUCUGUCUUCCUAGCCUAUCUCAAGCUGACAGCAAAGCUAUGGACACAGGUUCAUUAUGAAUUUAGUUCUAAACUCACUGUGGGGGCACACACCUAUAACCUGCACCCAAGGGGCUGAGAGGCUGAAGCAGGAAAGUCUCCACAAGUUUGAGGCCAGCCUGGUUUGCAUGUUAAUGCUUAAAUCUUUUUUUUUUUUAAUCUUAUUUUAACAGGGUGGUGGUGGUGCACACCUUUAAUGUCAGCACUCAGGAGCCAGGGAGGCAGGCUUAUCUCGGAGUUCCGGGAACAAAGUGAGUUCCAGGACAGCCAGGGCUACCCACACACACACACACACACACACAUUCUUAUCUUAAUGAACUACAUCUCUGAAUCAUUCCAAUCCAGUCUAGACUACAGCUGGGACUCCUUAGGGUAAGUACUUGUUUUGCAAGCAUGAGGAGCUGAGUUUAGAUCCCCAGCACCAUGGAAAGGCCAAGUGUGGAAACAGGCAGAUCCUGGCCAGUUUAGCCAAUCAGUGAGCUCCAGGUUCUACGAGAGACUGUUUCAAAAAAAAAAAAAAAAAAACAAGACGGAGGGCUGGUGAGAUAUCUCAGUGAGUAAUGGCUCCUGAUGCUUGAGUUCAGUCCCAGGAAACUUACAUGUUGGAAGGAAAAACUGAUUCCUGCAACCUAACCUAACCUAAACACAUUACACACACACACACACACAGAGAGAGAGAGAGAGAGAGAGAGAGAGAGAGAGAGAGAGAGAGAGAGAGCACAAAUAAAUGAAAAAACAAAGCAAAGUGGAGAAGCAAUUAAGGAAAAAGCCAUUCUGAGCUCUGCGUGUGCACAAAUAGACACGUACCUUCACAUACAUGCAUAUGACACGCAAAACUCAACCUGAAUGUGUAGCCUCUUUUCAAGUCACAUCUACCCUUCUUUCUAACUGCAUACUGGGCAGGGUGCUUGCACCUUUAAUUCCAGCUAUCUGUCCCACAGAUUCUCUGAGAUCAAAUAUUGCCUGCAUAAUUUAAAAAACUAAAUUACAGCCCGGCAGUGGUGGCACACGUCUUUAAUCCCAGCACUCAGGAGGCAGCCAGAUCUCUCUGUGAGUUUCAGGUCAGCAGGGUUACAUAGUCAGACCUUGUCUCAAUGUUAAGUCAAUAGAAACAACUAUUCUAGAAGGUCCUUCUUUAGGAAGGAAAACAGGGACACUUAACAGGAAAUAAGCAAAGAUUAUCGAAGAUAUUCCAUAAUGGCCUCAAAUUCAGAUAGUCAAAGUAGUCACUUAUGUGGCAAGUUACAUUCCUGGAUGUAAAGACAGGUCUUGUGUGGGGAAGCUGGAAGGGCACCCUUGGGGAGAAAUCAGGCCUAGGUGCUGGGAUCUGCCAUUCCAGCCCCUGAAGUUUCCCACUAAGAAAAAAGAGUGAAGAAUGUAAGACACCUCCACUCAGUAUUGCUGCGUGCAAGGCACUACCUAGCCAGAGUUUAGACCUUGUGGGACAAUGACAAAACAGUUCCAGCCCACGGUGCCCGCAGAGGCUGCUUAGACAAGCUGACCCCACUCCUUCGUUUUCAGUUCAGCUGCUGUUGGAUGUUUCUGUGCCAGCUGUAAGAAAGAGCCUGGUCUGUGUCUGGUCAGGGACACUAAGCUGCUGUAGGACUCUCUCUCUGAGGAAGGGCCUGCAGGACCUUGUGGUCAGUGGGAGGAAGCCGGGGCAGCCCCAAGACUUGGCAUGGAAGUUUCACCUGCCUCUGCCCCUCCCCGCUGCACUGCUGUCUGAAGUUUGAACUGUGGGCUCAUGUAAUUUAGUUUUUUAAAUGGUGCAGACAAUAUUUGAAUCUCCUCAGAGAUUCUGUGGGACAGAUAGCUGAAAAACUAACUCCUGGCCCUCAAGUGACUGAUGCCAUAGACCCCUAGAUGAGUUAAAGGCCAUUCCCAGGAUUCUGACGAUCAUUUGACAGGGGCCCCUGCCGUGGCCUCCUCUCAUACAAUCUUUGCUGAUGGGCUCAUCUGCCUGAAACCUGUGGCUGGAACCUCCAUUUUGUGUCUUUGGGGGACCUGGGUAGGGGUGCAGCCCUGACCCUUCCUUGGGGCUGACAAAGUUGUGCUUGUGGCUCACAGUGAACGUUUGGACAAGCAAAAUCAGUGUGUCAAGGCAAGGGUUUGUUUUGUUUUGUUGUUUUAGUUUUUGGAGACAGGGUUUCUGUGUAGCUUUGGAGCCUGUCCUGGCUCCUGCUCUGGAGACCAGGCUGGCCUCGAACUCACAGAGAUCCGCCAAGGCAAGGGUUUUAUUUGCAGCCAAUGUGGGUAUUUAACUGCAGAACCCCUCAGGAGGGCUGGGAGAGUGCCCCUUCCACUUUUGGAGUGUGACACCCAAACUGCAGCAAAACCUGGAGCUUCCUGACGAGAUUACGACCAACACAGGUGGACACAGAGAGAGAACAGCAGCCUCCUAGUGCUACGCCGUACCUGUGUCUACCCUCCCUCUGUGUCUCUCAACACAGAAGUGAUAAUGCCUGUGAAAUCAGACUGUGGAAGUUGCCAUGGUUUCAGUUCCCCCUUCUCCAUAAGGACAGCACCUGGUAGUGCGCCGACCCUAACCCUAACCUAGCCCUAGCCCCAGCCUGGCCACACCCCGCAUGGGAGACCCUGAGCCAAAACCACCCCAGUCUGCCGACUGCCCACUCUCAAACGCUGUGUGAGGUAACAGAUGUCUGUUUCAAGCUCCAGGGCUGUAAGGUCAUUUGUUGCCUGGCAGUAACGAGCUGACACACCAUCUGCAUUGGGGUAUGUUUCUUUACUGUAAUAAAAGACGGGAGACGGCUCACUGUGGAAAGACAAAAGCUUCGUGGACAGUUUUGGAGGCUGGAGGGCGUGGCAUUGGCAUCCACUCUGCUCUGGGGAGGGCUCUGUGGCUGAGCGUGCGCGCGCGAGUCUGUGCGCGUAGGCGUGUGUGUGUUCCCGUGUGUGUGUUCCCCAGUGUGUGUGUGUGUGCGCGCGCGAGUCUGUGUGCGCGUAGGCGUGUGUGUGCUCGCGUGUGUGUGUGCGCGAGAGAAUCUGAGUGCGUGUAGGUGGGUGUGUGUGUUCUCGUGUGUGUGUUCCCGUGUGUGUGUGCGCGAGAGAGUCUGUGUGUGUUCCCCAGUGUGUGUUCCCGUGUGUGUGUGUGCGCGAGAGAAUCUGUGUGCGUGUAGGUGUGUGUGUGUGUGUGUGUGUGUGCUCGUGUGUGUGCGUGUGUUCCCCAGUGUGUGUGAGCACGUGUGUAGCACUCACUCACACAAGUUAAUACACAGCUCUCUAGCUCCCAGAAUUGUGAACCACACCACACCACACCACACCACACGGAAACUGAGGCCUGGAGGCGCGGACUUGACUGACGAGCCGGGGCGGCCUGGCGCUGGCUCCACUGCGGCUCACACACCCGCGGCUGGGCGUGGCGGGCGUCCAUCCUGCCCGGCAGCAGCACGAGCCAAUCAGAGCACAGCUGCCUGCCCCGCACUGUGAUUGGUUCGGGCCGCGCGGACGUCGCCCAAUCACAGGAAAGAUCUCUGACGGCGGCGUUGCCUGGAGCCCCGGCUUUUGUUCCUGCGGGGUCCGGGGCCGCCGGGGCGGGCGCGGGGCUCCGAGGGGGCGGGGCGGGGCCGCGGAAGCGGAAGGGCGCUGUGGCUGCAGGAAAGCUAGCCCGGUGCUCGACCCCUGAGCUCGAGGCCCAGGGUGGGAGCCGCCCCCGGAAGCGGCCCCGAUCACCCCGAGCCGCUAGCCGUGCUGGCUGGAUGCUCGCCGGCCGGCCGCGCCCCCUGCCGUAGUUCUCCGUCCUUUGGAGCCGGCCUCCCUGUGGGUGGCAGGUUGGCUUAGCGCUCACUCCGCAGCCCCGGAUUUCAACAAUUUCCCGCCCAGCCUCCCCAGUGCGGCCGUGUACCCCGCGCCCGCCUCCGGGCUUGCUUUGUCUUAGAGGCCACAGGGCUGGCGAGGGCUCAGCGGCCUGGGGUCAGGUGGGGGUGCACACUCAGCCUCUGCGAGCCGGCGCCUGUCCCGCAGGCUGUCCCCCCCUCUGCCACACAGCUGGGACCCGCCACCCGCAGGCAAGGUGCUCAUGCUUUCUGCGAGCCCCGGCUCUCACCGCAGACGCAGGCCCAGGAAGCGGCUCUGCGAGGCUCCAGGAACGAAUUUGUUUGCAGAGGACCCAGUACCCAUUAGCGGGAGAUUCAAUUUACAAGAAUUCUUUUUCUCACAUAAUUAUCGGUGGAGUGGGUGGG